Molecule: long non-coding RNA, 1485 nt
Filed under: Mustela putorius furo (domestic ferret)
Lineage: Eukaryota; Metazoa; Chordata; Mammalia; Carnivora; Mustelidae
Description: lncRNA (ENSMPUG00000030904.1)
Source: RNAcentral
UGACGCCACAUCCUGACACAUGUCCUUCUCUCCCCAGGCUCGCACUCCAGCUGGUGGAGUAUCUGCGGGCGCCCAGACGCAGGCCGGCCUGGGGCUCAGCCGGCACACCCCCAGGCAGCAGAGAAGGUGACGCUGGGCCUUCAGUGACAGGACCAGAUGUUCUUCCAAGGGAGAUCCCGACGGGUUCUGGAUCAAAGUCCUGCAGGCCUUGCCUACUUCUUCCGAAGACAGGACUCCGGGCAGAGGUGCUGCUUCAAGUCCAUGCCCAUGGCCACCGUGUAUGUGCCCGCCGCGUCUCACUAGGUUACCCGCAGAGCCGAGCGUGCCCAUUUUACAAGGAAGGAGAUGGAGGAGGCCAGCGUGGCAGGAGAAAGGCUGGUCACUGAGUCAUGGGGCCACCCAGCGUGAGAUUCUGCUGACGGUUACUUUCUGCGGAGACCCCGUUCUCCUUUGAACUUGGUGACACUUCUCUCUCCCCCUGGGUGCUUCUGCUUCUCUGUCCAUCCCCUUGGGUGUUGGUGGUCUCCGUCUUCCUCGUUCCUCUUCUUGCCAUCUGGGUUCUGCUGCAGCAAUCUCGAGAAGCCCCAAGGCUUGCUCCACCGUCUGUCUCCCCGCUGAAGACCAGGAAACCUGAGCUCCUCACGGGACUUCACCGUGAUGCGACCCUGCAGAGAGAUUUUCCAGUUCAUAAUGAAUUAUGAACAAUAUAACAAAUGGGGAUUGGAAAGAGAAGCAUCAGAAAAUCUUCCCUCAUCCACUGUAGAAAUGAUGGCGCUGCAGUGCAUCUUGGCCGUGAGGGGAUUCAAUCUUUUUAGGAAAUUGCUGAAAGGUUGUACUACACGCUCAAGAGAGAAGGUAGUUGUAGGUUACAUUUGCCUGCAUCACAAUCACCAGUGGAAACUGGGACAUACGAACAUAUCCACAUAACCCUCCCACCCAGAGAAUCUGUGCACUUCACAAACGCCCCAGGUAACCUGGCACGUGUUCUUCCGCCAGGCUGACAGAAACACUGGCACUAGAUGGAAUCUCAGAUUCUGCCCCUUUUCGGGGUUUCAUUGUAUGAAAGUUCCCAUAACAUUGAAAGCAUUUCCCAUUGAAACCCACUGGGGGAAAAUGGCCUUGAACACUGAAAGGUAAUCUAUCUAAAGUACCUAUGUCAAAACCGAUUUCCACUGUAUGCUUAACCAUCCUCACUUUUCUUAUGUCCACUCCAGUGAGAAGGGUAGAGGUUCUGGGGGUACAGAUCAAGCUCAUGGGCAGUUCGGAAACUCAUUCCAUACAACAGUAGAAACGCCAGAGGCCUAGAGUCUCACCUCACAAAGUUAAGCUCAAGAAGGUGACACACGGAAUGGAAUGGAGCUUCUAACUUAAUAAUUAUGGCUGACAGAGAAGAUCAAGACCCACAAAGGAUGGCGAGGAAAAGCUUCAAAAGCAAGACACUCUAGUGGCCUUUUAUGACAUUGUGGGUGGCCUGUUGUGCUCAUU